AACGUAGGAGGCGAGCGUUAUCCGGAUUUACUGGGCGUAAAGCGCACGCAGGCGGCCGCGUGAGUCGGCUGUGAAAGCUCCUGGCUUAACUAGGAGAGGCCAGUCGAUACUGCGGGGCUUGAGGUUGGGAGAGGGGUGCGGAAUUCCCGGUGUAGUGGUGGAAUGCGUAGAUAUCGGGAGGAACACCAGUGGCGAAGGCGGCACCCUGGCCCACACCUGACGCUGAGGUGCGAAAGCGUGGGUAGCAAACAGG
This 253-nucleotide ribosomal RNA is filed under the name uncultured bacterium. RNAcentral's name for it is "partial 16S ribosomal RNA". It matches the Rfam family "Bacterial small subunit ribosomal RNA", at positions 524 to 776 of the family's 1533-position model. The record is from RNAcentral.